UACGUAGGGGGCAAGCGUUGUCCGGAAUCAUUGGGCGUAAAGAGCGUGUAGGCGGCCCGGUAAGUCCGCUGUGAAAGUCCAGGGCUCAACCCUGGGAUGCCGGUGGAUACUGUCGGGCUCGAGUCCGGAAGAGGAGUGUGGAAUUCCUGGUGUAGCGGUGAAAUGCGCAGAUAUCAGGAGGAACACCAAUAGCGAAGGCAGCUCGCUGGGACGGUACUGACGCUAAGGCGCGAAAGCGUGGGGAGCGAACAGG
This 253-nucleotide ribosomal RNA is filed under the name uncultured bacterium. RNAcentral's name for it is "partial 16S ribosomal RNA". It matches the Rfam family "Bacterial small subunit ribosomal RNA", at positions 524 to 776 of the family's 1533-position model. The record is from RNAcentral.